Molecule: ribosomal RNA, 438 nt
Filed under: uncultured bacterium
Lineage: Bacteria
Description: partial 16S ribosomal RNA
Rfam family: Bacterial small subunit ribosomal RNA
Source: RNAcentral
CUACGGGUCGCUCCAGUGGGGAAUAUUGCACAAUGGGGGAAACCCUGAUGCAGCGACGCCGCGUGAGCGAAGAAGGCUUUAGGGUCGUAAAGCUCUGUCCUAAGGGAAGAUAGUGACGGUACCUUAGGAGGAAGCCCCGGCUAACUACGUGCCAGCAGCCGCGGUAAUACGUAGGGGGCGAGCGUUAUCCGGAAUUAUUGUGCGUAAAGGGUUCGCAGGUGGUCUGUUAAGUCAGAUGUGAAAGGCAGUGGCUCAACCAUUGCAAGCAUUUGAAACUGGCAGACUUGAGUACAGGAGAGGAAAGCGGAAUUCCUAGUGUAGCGGUGAAAUGCGUAGAUAUUAGGAGGAACACCAGUGGCGAAGGCGGCUUUCUGGACUGUAACUGACACUGAGGAACGAAAGCGUGGGGAGCAAACAGGAUUAGAUACCCUGGUAGUC